UGAGGAACAUGACCUUCGGCGGGGGAGUAGCCGGGCCCAACGGCCGGGUAAUACCGCGUACGACCACAUGGGGACAUCCCUGAGUGGUGAAAGCAGCAAUGCGCCGAUGGAGUGCCUCGCGGCCUAUCAGCUAGUUGGUGAGGUAACGGCUCACCAAGGCGACGACGGGUAGCUGGUCUGAGAGGAUGGCCAGCCACAUUGGGACUGAGACACGGCCCAGACCUNUACCGGGGAGG
This 236-nucleotide ribosomal RNA is filed under the name uncultured bacterium. RNAcentral's name for it is "partial 16S ribosomal RNA". It matches the Rfam family "Bacterial small subunit ribosomal RNA", at positions 118 to 347 of the family's 1533-position model. The record is from RNAcentral.